This is a microRNA precursor of Danio rerio (zebrafish), 101 nucleotides long. Ensembl annotates it as dre-mir-1788. Lineage: Eukaryota; Metazoa; Chordata; Actinopteri; Cypriniformes; Danionidae. The record is from Ensembl.
UCAACCACUGUCUUGUAUCCGAGGCUUGUUUUAAGUUGCCUGCGAUCUCUUAAUGACUCAGGCAGCUAAAGCAAGUCUGGGAGGCCAGAGACAACACGACA